UUCCAGGUAAUCAUCAUGUUCCAUAUAAUUAUUAGCUUUCGCUUCUUGGAUGAAGUAAUCUUUGAAAAUCUGUUCCUAUUUAAUUAGCCACAUUCCCUAAAAGUGCCACAGGCAUCUCCUGUGCAGGUGUAGUCUUGAAGCUGUAAAUUCAUUUUCAGAAGCCAUUCCAAGAAGGAGCUGCUCGGGCUGGAAUCUGCAGCAGAAACCCUCUUUUGCAUCUGUCUUACCAUGUAAGACAAGUAGACGAUCUGCUCUGAGGCUGUGUCACAAGCUCAUUUCUGAGCAGGGAAUCAACAAAGUAACGAGACCUGGUCAGAGGCUUUCUGAUGCCACAGCUCCUCCAAAGCGGUAAGCAGUGCACGCAGACAGAAUGGCCAACAGGCAGCUCAAAAAGAAAAAGGAGCAAGAGAGGGAUCUGUUCCAGCAACUACUGGACUUAACCCAACAGAAGGCCCUAAAGCAUUUCCCGGAGAAUCCUCAGAGGACUGAAGUGGAGCUCAUUGCCCUGAGAAGAGCCCUGACACAGGCACUGCAGUGGAGGAAUGUCACGGAUUAACUUAUUUUGUAAUCAGCUCUAACGAUUGCAUCCCUGAGGGCUGCAAUCUGGAGAAGAUACACCAUUCAGGGGUAACUGGAGGGCCCUUCCACAGCAUGCACUGUGCAAUCCCACUCCUCAGAAGGUGAACAAGAACAAAUGCGUUACCUACACUGGUCAUUCUUAACCUGUGGUCUGUGGUUCGCGGACUUUUCCAGCAGAAGUCCUGAUUUGUAUUCAAUUAACUUAUACCAUCUGCUUGCUUUAUUACUUACCUAUCUAAUUACCGAAAGCACAGUUCACCAGGGGCUUGUUAUUCAAGAAACAGUGUGCUACCUAUAUUUUUACAUUUAUUUUCUGUUAUUUUUUAUUGCAAAACAAACAUAUCCUGAUACCACUCAGCUGCAAAACUUCAUUGUGGUACCACCUGGCAUAAUAUCCUUCCAUGCUGUUAACUCCAAAUAUGAACAAAUGCGAACACAUAUUCUUGGUUACACAACAUUCCUUCCCUCCAACUAUUUUCUGGUCUCUAAAUGGGAGCACAACACUUUCCUGAUCCUGUUUCUCUGACCACAUGAGGCAGCUCGCUAACAUACCUUCUUUGGCUUACAUAUGUCCAGAGCAUCUCUUGACCUCCUGUUCCCAGCAGUCCUUCAGCUUCUUUCUCUUACACUCACAAAUGUGCAAAAGCCAUCAGGCAGUUAGCAUGACAGACUCAUGAUGUCAAGAAACAUCAGCUUUUACACAGAUGUUGCUACUGACUUCAGCAAUUCCAGUGUGUAUUCAUCGCACUCUGCAAACACACAGUUCAGAAUUAGACCACUGUUUUCUCCUGUCCAGCCAACAGAUCAAAAGUUUUAGAAAGCAGAGAAGCAUAACACAAGGUGUUUUUUCUAUAAUGACACGGAACUCUAAACCAACAUAUGUCAAAAUUGUUCAGGAAAUAACCAUUCUUACUGAUUAUAUCUUUGCAUGAAGGGUGUGAAAGCAACUCAGAUCUGCAUAAAUUACCUCUUCACCAAAGAAGAAGCCUGUUACUGGGGGUAUGUGAUUCAAUUUUUUGUAGUCAUCUUAUAUUUGUUAUUAUUAGUAAUCAAAAUAUGAAUGCGUCACCUGUUAUAGACACCUGAUAAAGCCCACUUAUCAGUAAGGAUUUUUUUCUAAACUGUUUGAAACGUAGUGCAACUAAUAAACUCCUUUGCAUUGCUAUGUCUUCUUAAGUGAUAUAGCAGCAACCUUCUCACAAAAUCACAGAUGUCUAUAUAACAACAACCUCCACUGUUGAUCAGUCAUUGCAAAACUGGCUUGCUACACCCAUUAUUCUAUGAUUCCAUUAGCAGUAGCAAUUGGAGAGAAGCUCUAUGUGCAUGGCAGCUGUUGAUGCAGGCGUGAGUGGCGCUUUUAGCCUUUCUGUGCAAUGGUCACUCUCUUUGGUGACCCCAGGAUGGCAUCUGUACCCUGCUGCACCCACCACUGAACCCGAAGCGGUGCCGCGCUGAGCAGAGCUGUUGCAGAUAAAUGCUCUGCUGAAAUACUCGCUUGGUUUCUUCAUAACACCUAGAGAAGAAGCAGGGACAUGAAUCUCCAAGCCCCCAGACCCUGUACUUUGUGGUGGCCACCCUUUGGUGGAUGCAGAACGAAGAGGCAUGUCAUCACACCAGGGGCUGUCUUCCCAGAACACCAUGCCGUGCAGUCAAACAAGGUCAUGGUCAACACAGUGGUCAACAAGGAGGAUACUAUAAACCAUCAUGGCUUGGAUUUGUUUAAACACCACAUAGUUUAAUGAGGUUUGAGCAAACAAAGUAAUGCAACACAGUAUCUAUGUGUAAACUCAUAGCUGUCAUAGAAAAUAAUGCAAUGCUAGUUCUACAGUGGGGGCGUCUGCCUCACACACUUCCAGAGGGGACUAUAAGCCAGCCCAGCAGCUAUCCUGAAAACCAUCCUCCCACUAGAAAGACCUUGCACAGGCAAUAUACAUUAGGACACAGCCCUUGGAAAAUGUUCCAGGAGCCUUUUGGCUGAGAUACAGCCUCGAGACAGCCGAGCGUCUGCAGGAGCACUGGGCUCCUCACUGCAAGCAUUGUCUUUGGGCUGACAGCAUCACAGCUGUGAAAAAGCACACUGAGGAGCCUUGGCAGAACACCCCACGUUACUCAGUUGGUGCAAAAUAUUGGUGUAACAUAUGAUGUUUUGGAAUAACUAUCUGCGUUAUCACUAAAACUCUAUAAAUGUGAUGAUAUUCCUCCACUGCCUGAGGCUCACAGAACCAUCUGUUUAUCAGAUACAAAUGCAAGGGACUGGAUCACAGUCCAGAAUUUUUUCCUGUUGUCACAGUACAGGCUGCCUUAAGAAAAGCAGAAAUUGAAAAGGAAAUUCCUGAAUAAAGGCAAAAAGUUCAUACCGUAUAUGGACAGGAACAUUUGACGAAGACAUGCUGAUUAAAAGAAAAAAAAAAGCUACAGAGAUUAUUGCCAACUUGUUCUGACAAACACUUUUGGCACAUCUCAGCUGAUAGUGUCCAGCACUCCUCAAGCACUAAAAAGAACUGAUGUAGAGACAAUUAAAAUAAAUGGAAUCUGUCUUGUAACUCCAUCGGGAUUUGGGAUUUACAUGCCAGAAUGCUAUCAGCAUUUUAUCACAAGCUUAUGUACUUCCUAGUAGUUUUUCUGUCUCUUGGAUUUGAAGAUCACACUCCUUGAACAGAUCACAGGAACUCCAAAAAGAGGCAGGCAAGGAAACCUUUAUAAAUGUAUAGUAAGGGAAAUGGAUAGAUCCAGUAAACUAAACCCAUGACAAGCAUGGACAAGAAUAAAGAUAAUAUAAUUACUGUAUGGUCAGAAUCAUAAUUCUAUUUUUUUUGUAGUUGACCUCUAAACUGCAAGGGGAGACAUUCUUGCCCCCUUGAAACUGGUGGGAUUUGUGCCACUGACUUCAAGACAGCCAGGAUUUUACCCCAUGUAAUGGGAUAUGAAACCAAACCAAAAUCCCAAGUCUUCCUUAUACUCCAACUGACUGAAAAUCCAGUUUCAAACUUCAGAGCCCAUGUUCAGCUCUGUAUGCAACAGAUGCAAAGCAGAGGAUGACAUCUUGAGAAAUACAUUUGUAGGGGAGCUAGUCCCACAGACAACCUGAGGGAAAAAGAAAGCCACAAACAAAAAAAUCUGUUUUUCAUGUUGGUCUUGCUACUGCAGCUAACUGUGUUUGAGUCAGCAUGCCUCUCCAGUUCCCCCAAAAACAAUGUCUUUUUCCCCGUUUUCUUGAAUGAAAGCAUUUGAAGUACCAGAAGCUGUUGCUAAAAAUUUGCCUGCUAAUGUCUCAAACUAAUCAAGGGGAUUUUUACUAACAAAAAGGAAAAUAUGAUUUAUGGCUGUGUUUAGAAGAUAACCAGAUUCAUGAUCAUUUUUAUGGUACAUGGGAGAUCCCCAUGGAUAAUUUUCCCAUAUCCGAGUCCCCAUUUAAUAGAAGAAAGAGAUUCUUCUGUUGAUGAUUCUAUAACACGGAAGAACUUGGGGUUUAAAGAUCACAUUUAUAAUGCGAUAUGCGUGACUUCAUUUGCAAGUGUAAUAGCUAAUUGUACAUAAAGGAAGGGCUGUGUUGCUUCAUUGGCAAUAUACAAUAAAUUAUUGACACAAA
This is a long non-coding RNA of Columba livia (rock pigeon), 4168 nucleotides long. RefSeq lists it as uncharacterized. The transcript is spliced from 2 exons. NCBI's taxonomy places the organism in Eukaryota, Metazoa, Chordata, Aves, Columbiformes, Columbidae. The record is from RefSeq and is a predicted model, not a curated record.